GUUUAUAAAAACGAACCCGACUGCUCACUCGCAAGAGAGAGCGUUGAUCUGGGCGCUCGUGUCUCUCUGUCUGUCCGUCUGUUGCUGUCUCCUCUCUUCGAGAGUGUAGCAGCAGCAGCAGCAGCAGCAGUCAUCACAACGCCUCGUCUCCUCAGAAGAAAAGGAAGAAAGAUGAUGUCUUUCGUCGAGUAGGUGGGGGGCGUUAUUACUGGUUGAAUACUACUCGUUCGACUAGUACUUAUGAUUCUGCUGCGAGUAGUCCAGCAUCUCCUCUCCUCGAGCAGCAGAGCAACGACUACUACACGAUCAUGCUGGUCGACGAUGAUUCCGUCGAUGACGCCCCCCGCGCUCUUCUUCGUCG
This 361-nucleotide unclassified non-coding RNA is filed under the name Trichogramma dendrolimi. RNAcentral describes it as "sequence contains ITS2". The record is from RNAcentral. Lineage: Eukaryota; Metazoa; Arthropoda; Insecta; Hymenoptera; Trichogrammatidae.